UACGGAGGGGGCAAGCGUUGUCCGGAUUUAUUGGGCGUAAAGAGCUCGUAGGCGGUUUGUCGCGUCGGUUGUGAAAACCCAGGGCUCAACCCUGGGCCUGCAUUCGAUACGGGCAGACUAGAGUAUGGCAGGGGAGACUGGAAUUCCUGGUGUAGCGGUGAAAUGCGCAGAUAUCAGGAGGAACACCGGUGGCGAAGGCGGGUCUCUGGGCCAAAACUGACGCUGAGGAGCGAAAGCGUGGGGAGCGAACAGG
This 253-nucleotide ribosomal RNA is filed under the name uncultured bacterium. Its description in RNAcentral is "partial 16S ribosomal RNA". It matches the Rfam family "Bacterial small subunit ribosomal RNA", at positions 524 to 776 of the family's 1533-position model. The record is from RNAcentral.